This 1189-nucleotide long non-coding RNA is filed under the name Gossypium barbadense (sea-island cotton). Its description in RNAcentral is "long non-coding RNA (GBAR_LNC013318)". The record is from RNAcentral. Lineage: Eukaryota; Viridiplantae; Streptophyta; Magnoliopsida; Malvales; Malvaceae.
GAGUUUGUUAAAUAAAAUAAGUAGACUAUUUUUGUUUCUUUCUUCUUUUCAUUUCUGGUUUUUGUUUACUUCUUUUGUUGGUUAGAUUGCUUCUAACAUGGUACCAGAGCUAAUACUUUUUUGUUGUGCAAGGUGUUAAUUGUUGCUUGGAAGGGUUGCUAUGAGGAGUAAUAGUUGCAGGUUCAAGUGUUGGUCUUCAUGGCUCCAGAGGAAGUCUCAGGGAAGGGUGGCAGCCAACAUCAGUCUUCAAAUGCUGAUGAGUAGGUGCAUUCUCCUCAUUCAGAACCACGGUCAAGUUCUUAUAUAUGUAGCUGGUAAGAGAAUUCAACAGUUUCUAAAGCAUAACACUAUUAAACUUAGUGAAAACAAUUUUCUUUUAUGGAAACAUCAUAUAAUGUUGAUUCUUGAUAAAUAUAAUUUGCAAGGGUAUGUUUUGGGGACCAUUAGUGUUCCUUCUCAAUUUAUGGUUUAUAAAAAUGGCAAGUUAGUAGAUAAUCCUGAUUUUCUAGAACAUAGACAAUAAGAUAAGCUAUUGGCAUCACGGUUCUUGUCGGCUGUGUGUGAUGAGGUGCUUGUCUACCUAACUAAUGCCAACACUAAAUUUGAUUUGUGGGUUACUAUUGAAAAGCGGUUUGCCACUAAGUUUAACAUUAAGCUCUCAAGCUUAAGGCAUACAUUCUAUUCUCAUAAAAGGGGACAGUUGGCUAUUAAAGAAUACUUAUCCAAUAUUAAAGGCAUGUGUGAUGUUCUAACUGUAGUUGGCAGUGUGGUAUCUGAACAAGAGCAUAUCAGUAUCAUUCUUGUAGGACUCUCAGUCGAGUAUGAGUCAGUUCGAGAAGUGGCCUUAGCUACAAAUGUCUCUCUUGAUCUUCUUAUUGGGAUGCUAGUUGAUUGUGGAGCCAGACAACUAGAAUUUGGGUCUAACAUUCCAGUGCAAGCCAAUAUGGUCUACCAACAAAAGAAUGAUGUUGAAAGUCAAUCUAAGAAUUCUUCAUCUAAUGCUGGAUAUGUUGGAUCUGAAGCCUUGAGUGUAGUAUAUUUCGUUUGUAAACUUGUAAUUUUCAAAUAAAUUGAUUAAUAUAACAGUUCAUGGGUUACAUUAAUAUACUUUGUAUGAUUUUCCUCAUGUGGUUUUUGUAUACAAAGCAAAAUAUAAGCAAAUAUUGGCUCACUAGCUAUCUAAUGUUUG